RNAcentral lists this transfer RNA (63 nucleotides) under Nocardioides ginsengisegetis. Its description in RNAcentral is "tRNA-Trp". Lineage: Bacteria; Bacillati; Actinomycetota; Actinomycetes; Propionibacteriales; Nocardioidaceae. The record is from RNAcentral.
GCCGCGCGCUGGGCGCGGGCUGGUCUCCAAAACCGGCCUCGCCAGGUUCGAUUCCUGGGCGGU